This 497-nucleotide ribosomal RNA is filed under the name uncultured bacterium. RNAcentral's name for it is "partial 16S ribosomal RNA". It matches the Rfam family "Bacterial small subunit ribosomal RNA", at positions 28 to 507 of the family's 1533-position model. The record is from RNAcentral.
GACGAACGCUGGCGGCGUGCCUAAUACAUGCAAGUUGAGCGCUGAAGGUUGGUACUUGUACCAACUGGAUGAGCAGCGAACGGGUGAGUAACGCGUGGGGAAUCUGCCUUUGAGCGGGGGACAACAUUUGGAAACGAAUGCUAAUACCGCAUAAAAACUUUAAACACAAGUUUUAAGUUUGAAAGAUGCAAUUGCAUCACUCAAAGAUGAUCCCGCGUUGUAUUAGCUAGUUGGUGAGGUAAAGGCUCACCAAGGCGAUGAUACAUAGCCGACCUGAGAGGGUGAUCGGCCACAUUGGGACUGAGACACGGCCCAAACUCCUACGGGAGGCAGCAGUAGGGAAUCUUCGGCAAUGGACGAAAGUCUGACCGAGCAACGCCGCGUGAGUGAAGAAGGGUUUCGGAUCGUAAAACUCUGUUGGUAGAGAAGAACGUUGGUGAGAGUGGAAAGCUCAUCGAGUGACGGUAACUACCCAGAAAGGGACGGCUAACUACGUG